This 61-nucleotide microRNA precursor is filed under the name Patiria miniata (bat star). RNAcentral's name for it is "Pmi-Mir-96-P1_pre stem-loop". The record is from RNAcentral. Lineage: Eukaryota; Metazoa; Echinodermata; Asteroidea; Valvatida; Asterinidae.
UUUGGCACUAGCACAUUUUGCUUUUUUGAUAACAUGCGGCAACUUUUGCUAGUGGCAAAGA